Molecule: ribosomal RNA, 253 nt
Filed under: uncultured bacterium
Lineage: Bacteria
Description: partial 16S ribosomal RNA
Rfam family: Bacterial small subunit ribosomal RNA
Source: RNAcentral
UACGUAGGGCGCAAGCGUUAUCCGGAAUUAUUGGGCGUAAAGAGCUCGUAGGCGGUUUGUCGCGUCUGCCGUGAAAGUCCGGGGCUCAACUCCGGAUCUGCGGUGGGUACGGGCAGACUAGAGUGAUGUAGGGGAGACUGGAAUUCCUGGUGUAGCGGUGAAAUGCGCAGAUAUCAGGAGGAACACCGGUGGCGAAGGCGGGUCUCUGGGCAGUAACUGACGCUGAGGAGCGAAAGCGUGGGUAGCAAACAGG